AGGACGAACGCUGGCGGCGUGCUUAACACAUGCAAGUGGAGCGACGAACCAGGGCUUGCCCUGGGGCAGAGCCGCGAACGGGUGAGUAACACAUGGGUUACCUACCCCGAUGACCGGGACAACCCGAGGAAGCUCGGGCUAAUACCGGAUGUGGUCUUCGGACGAAAGGAGCUUCGGCCUCCGCAUCGGGAUCGGGCCCGCGGCGCAUUAGCUUGUUGGUGGGGUAACGGCCUACCAAGGCGACGAUGCGUAGCUGGUCUGAGAGGACGAUCAGCCACACUGGGACUGAGACACGGCCCAGACUCCUACGGGAGGCAGCAGUGGGAAUAGUCCACAAUGGGCGAAAGCCUGAUGGAGCGACGCCGCGUGAGGGAUGAAGUCUUUUCGGAGUGUAAACCUUCUUUAGUAGGGAUAGAAACGGUGGGUAACCCCAACGUAAGAACAGUAACCCUAGUAG
Molecule: ribosomal RNA, 457 nt
Filed under: uncultured soil bacterium
Lineage: Bacteria
Description: bacterial SSU rRNA
Rfam family: Bacterial small subunit ribosomal RNA
Source: RNAcentral